UACGAAGGGGGCUAGCGUUGCUCGGAUUUACUGGGCGUAAAGGGCGCGUAGGCGGACAGUUAAGUCGGGGGUGAAAGCCCGGGGCUCAACCUCGGAAUUGCCUUCGAUACUGGCCGUCUUGAGUACGGGAGAGGUGUGUGGAACUCCGAGUGUAGAGGUGAAAUUCGUAGAUAUUCGGAAGAACACCAGCGGCGAAGGCGACACACUGGCCCGUUACUGACGCUGAGGCGCGAAAGCGUGGGGAGCAAACAGG
Molecule: ribosomal RNA, 253 nt
Filed under: uncultured bacterium
Lineage: Bacteria
Description: partial 16S ribosomal RNA
Rfam family: Bacterial small subunit ribosomal RNA
Source: RNAcentral